AUGCUUGUUAAGUACAAUUUGAUGUCCCACAGUUACAUGACAAAUUUGUACGAGAUACGACGCAAAUGGGCGAAACCAUACUUCAAAGGUGUUUUCUGUGCCAAAAUGACCAGGACCCAGCGUAGCACGAGUGCAAACAAUAUGCUGAAAAUAUACAUGCCACCAGCAAGUCCAAUGCAUGUGUUUGUGCGUCAGGAUAUGAGGCUGCAAUUCGACCAGGAAUCAGAUGAGAGCUACCAAGAAAAACAAACAAGGAUUGUAAGCCCACUAUAUGAAAAACCUACUCAAUUGUUUGUUGCUCAUAUUAUUGUGUAUAAAACUGGCAAAUUCUCUUUUUCCUCUGUGCUGCUCAGAGUGGCGCUGUCAUGA
Molecule: ribosomal RNA, 369 nt
Filed under: Triticum aestivum (bread wheat)
Lineage: Eukaryota; Viridiplantae; Streptophyta; Magnoliopsida; Poales; Poaceae
Description: partial small subunit ribosomal RNA
Source: RNAcentral